This 66-nucleotide transfer RNA is filed under the name uncultured Odoribacter sp. It matches the Rfam family "tRNA". Rfam says of the family: Transfer RNA (tRNA) molecules are approximately 80 nucleotides in length. Their secondary structure includes four short double-helical elements and three loops (D, anti-codon, and T loops). The record is from RNAcentral. Lineage: Bacteria; Pseudomonadati; Bacteroidota; Bacteroidia; Bacteroidales; Odoribacteraceae.
AGUGUAGCUCAGUUGGUAGAGCACUGGUCUCCAAAACCAGGUGUCGGGGGUUCGAGCCCCUCCACU